Molecule: ribosomal RNA, 500 nt
Filed under: uncultured bacterium
Lineage: Bacteria
Description: partial 16S ribosomal RNA
Rfam family: Bacterial small subunit ribosomal RNA
Source: RNAcentral
AUUGAACGCUGGCGGCAUGCCUUACACAUGCAAGUCGAACGGCAGCACGGGAGCAAUCCUGGUGGCGAGUGGCGAAUGGGUGAGUAAUGUAUCGGAACGUGCCCAGUCGUGGGGGAUAACGCAGCGAAAGCUGUGCUAAUACCGCAUACGAUCUAUGGAUGAAAGCGGGGGAUCGCAAGACCUCGCGCGAUUGGAGCGGACGAUAUCAGAUUAGGUAGUUGGUGGGGUAAAGGCCCACCAAGCCUGCGAUCUGUAGCUGGUCUGAGAGGACGAUCAGCCACACUGGGACUGAGACACGGCCCAGACUCCUACGGGAGGCAGCAGUGGGGAAUUUUGGACAAUGGGCGCAAGCCUGAUCCAGCAAUGCCGCGUGCAGGAUGAAGGCCUUCGGGUUGUAAACUGCUUUUGUACGAGACGAAAAGACUCGCUCUAAUACAGUGGGUACAUGACGGUAUCGUAAGAAUAAGCACCGGCUAACUACGUGCCAGCCGCCGCGGUAA